This 451-nucleotide ribosomal RNA is filed under the name uncultured organism. RNAcentral's name for it is "partial 16S ribosomal RNA". It matches the Rfam family "Bacterial small subunit ribosomal RNA", at positions 332 to 799 of the family's 1533-position model. The record is from RNAcentral.
UACACUCCUGCGGGAGGCAGCAGUGGGGAAUAUUGGACAAUGGGCGCAAGCCUGAUCCAGCCAUGCCGCGUGAGUGAUGAAGGCCCUAGGGUUGUAAAGCUCUUUCACCGGUGAAGAUAAUGACGGUAACCGGAGAAGAAGCCCCGGCUAACUUCGUGCCAGCAGCCGCGGUAAUACGAAGGGGGCUAGCGUUGUUCGGAUUUACUGGGCGUAAAGCGCACGUAGGCGGACUAUUAAGUCAGGGGUGAAAUCCCGGGGCUCAACCCCGGAACUGCCUUUGAUACUGGUAGUCUUGAGUUCGAGAGAGGUGAGUGGAAUUCCGAGUGUAGAGGUGAAAUUCGUAGAUAUUCGGAGGAACACCAGUGGCGAAGGCGGCUCACUGGCUCGAUACUGACGCUGAGGUGCGAAAGCGUGGGGAGCAAACAGGAUUAGAAACCCCGGUAGUCCCAUG